Molecule: transfer RNA, 72 nt
Filed under: Austrofundulus limnaeus
Lineage: Eukaryota; Metazoa; Chordata; Actinopteri; Cyprinodontiformes; Rivulidae
Description: tRNA-Gly
Source: RNAcentral
AUCUUUCUAAUAUAACACUUAAUAUGCGUGGUUUCCACCCACAUAAUUCUGGUGCAACCCCAGAGAAAGAUA